RNAcentral lists this long non-coding RNA (2310 nucleotides) under Homo sapiens (human). RNAcentral describes it as "HSALNT0163104". Lineage: Eukaryota; Metazoa; Chordata; Mammalia; Primates; Hominidae. The record is from RNAcentral.
UGCUAAUCUAGUACUUCUCUGCUGGGUGCAGCUGCAUAGCUGGAGGGGAAGAAAAACACUGGGCUUUUUUAGGGGGAGGUGAGAAGGGAAGAAAGCUUGUCCGUGAUUUUUCCCUGUCCCUUGAGGAGGUUUUUCUGGUGUCUCCUUGAUUUCUCUGGGAGGCGUGGUUCCAGUAGUGCAGAAACUCGGAUUCCUGGUGGGAAAUUCACACGCAUAUUGUACCAGAAUGAUACACAAAAUGUUCAGCUAUUCUUGUUCAUUUUAUAAGGCUGUAUCAUGGCCACUGUAAUACAUUUUCUGAGUUCACAAGUUUAAAGCCUAUCUCAGUUUAGGAACUCUAAUUCAUCUAGUUUACCCGUAGUGGUUCCCUGGGCCAUGAUUACUGGGGUAAUCUGAUGGAUGAGUAUGUGAGUAUUGUGGAUCUUUGACCCGGAAGAGCCACUAGAGACAAUUUAGUUUAUGCCGGUAAAACGAUUCGGGUUUAGGUUGCUAAUACUGACAUUUUUAGACGAGGUGACUAAGGCCAACCCUGGUUAAGAAUGACGUGCCUGAAGUCACGUUACAAUAUGUUAAGAAUUGUGAAACCAAGAGUUCUUCCUUUGAGUACUGUAUUUUUUCACCAUGUAUUGUGUUUGCUGAAACAACUCAAGGCUUUUAGAAAAUGGAUAAGUAUUAAUUUGAGUAUAUGCUAUUUCUCAAAGCGACAUUUUCCACUACUUUUAUUUUUACCUACUUUGUUUGUGUGCCUUUCUCCCCACUGAAUUGUGAAUUCCUAGAUGUUAGAGAGAGAAUCUGUAUUCUCUCAUAGCCUUGUGCACGGACUGGGAAUCAGUAACACUCAGGAAAUAUUGAAUAGUGAAAAUUGACAGUUGUUUUAGUAUACCGAGGUAAAGAAACAACGUCCUCAAGUUGCUCAGCAUAGACAUUUCCUCCUGUGUGCCAGUGUCUUGUAAUGAGAAUUUGAGAGUACUCAUGGGGUUUCUGUUAAUAGAGGAAUGCCUAUUGAUUUAUAUUAAUACAUUGUGAUUUUACUAUUCCUAAUAAUAUUCUAGAUGCCUGAAAAAGUAAAUGUUUCCCUAAAGGUCCCUAGAGAUUGACUUAUAUGCAAAGGAGAAUAGAUUUUAAAAAUCUCAACAUAAAAACAAUCUAAAUAAUUGUCACUUAAGAGUGUAACCACUGCUUAUUACAGUAUGUAAUAGUGAUCCCAUUCAGAGUGAUUGCAAAUAGUGGCUGAAAAGUUAAUUUGUCACCCAAAUUGCCUAAUUAAUGGAAAAGUUUAGAUUCUAGAGGUAGUAGUCCUUAAUUUUAUUAUGGCAUUCAGUGUAAAAUAAACUUUUUUUGCAAUUUCAUAAGGGUCUUUUGAGUAGGGACAGUGUUUGUGUCACCAUAGUAGAAUGGCUUAAACAUACUGUGCUAGCAACCUAAUAUUUGUUGAAUUUAAUUCUCAGAUAGUUAUACAAUCCUGACUGUAUUGUUAAGUAAAAGGAUACUUGACUGAUGAUAUAUUCCCUAUUUGUAAAAUGGAUAAGAUGGUCACUAAUUCAAAGUUCAACAGUUUUAUUAUGUUUCUCCACUGUCAUAAGUCAUGUACAGUUUACAUCAUUUAGAUCAUGCUUUGGUCUGUCAAUUGAAAUAAUUCUCAGGAUAAGCUUUGUUAAGGACGUUAUGUUGGUAUUUGUUUUGUUUUUAAAUUUGUGUUACUAUCAGUAAGUAACCAGAAAUGUUCCAUUUAGAAUUAUUUUACCUAUUUCCAAAAAGGAGUUGUUGGCUUUGUUAGUUUAAAAAUUAAACUCAUGGAACUUGAUAGAACAAAGGUGCUUGAACAGAAAAAUAGAUCUUGUUAUAUAUGCUAAGUAACAAGCAUAUAUUAGUAGUUCAGACAUCCGUUAUAUUUUGUGUUCUUCACUGAAACCAUAUUUCAUCAAAAUACAUUUAAAUCUUAGUUCUAAGAAUACAAAGUAUUUUGUUUUUUAAACUGUAAAAAUUGUAUAGUACACGGAUCUUUUAGGAAAAAAAUUCAGUUUAAGUAGUGCCCUUCCCCCUACUCAUUCUCCCAGGGGCAAUCACUGGUAACUACUUCCUGUCUAUCCUUUCAGGCCUUUGUUUCUGGGCACAUACAUAAACACAUUAGCGCGGUUCUGUUUUUUUAUACAAAUAAAUCUAUCAGCAACUUUUCUCAUUCUGUAUUAUAUCAUGUAUUAUACCUAUAUUUUUGCACUUACGGUAUACUUUAUUCUUUCUAAAAAUUGUGUUCUACAAUGUGGAUGUAUCACAAUUUAUUUAACUAUUUCUGUAAUCAUAGAUUUUUAG